GGAUAUCCCAGUUGGAAGAGCAUGAGACUCUUAAUCUCAGGUUCAGUGGUUCAAGCCCCACAUUGGGCA
This is a non-coding RNA of Podarcis lilfordi (Lilford's wall lizard), 69 nucleotides long. The record is from the annotation of a GenBank genome assembly. NCBI's taxonomy places the organism in Eukaryota, Metazoa, Chordata, Lepidosauria, Squamata, Lacertidae.